RNAcentral lists this unclassified non-coding RNA (330 nucleotides) under soil metagenome. RNAcentral's name for it is "partial contains 5.8S ribosomal RNA, internal transcribed spacer 2, and large subunit ribosomal RNA". The stretch from base 1 to 121 matches the Rfam family "5.8S ribosomal RNA", at positions 35 to 154 of the family's 154-position model. The record is from RNAcentral.
GAUGAAGAACGCAGCGAAAUGCGAUAAGUAAUGCGAAUUGCAGAAUUCCAGUGAGUCAUCGAAUCUUUGAACGCACAUUGCGCCCUUUGGCAUUCCGAGGGGCAUGCCUGUUCGAGCGUCAUUAUAACCCCUCAAGCUCAGCUUGGUGUUGGGGCCUGCUGCACUGGCAGCCCUUAAAAUCAGUGGCGGCGCCAUCUGGCUCUAAGCGUAGUAAUUCUUCUCGCUAUGGAGUCCUGGUGGAUGCUUGCCAUCAACCCCCAAUUUUUCUAUGGUUGACCUCGGAUCAGGUAGGGAUACCCGCUGAACUUAAGCAUAUCAAUAAGCGGAGGA